AUAAAAGACACCUCUUUCGUUCAGCAAUCAAAAACGUAAGUCACUCUUUGAACAAAGUUUGUACUCUCUGUGCACUUCAAAUUCAACCAAUUUCAAAUUACAUUCAUUUGAUUUCAUUCAUCAAAUCUAAUUAAGAUGCUUCCAGUUGUUUCUAAAUGAAGUGAAGGUUGCAUCGCCUAAUGUAUCUAGGGUUUUCGUGACCUUUCAAGGGGAGGUUUUAUAUAAAACAAGGAAGCAGCACACGAAAAGAAUGACAGGUCCUAUACACCACACAAUUAACUCAAAAAAGCAAGAAAUAUCACGAAGACUUUUUACAAAUUGAACUUUGUGGAUCUUUUGAGAAGCUGUUCUACGUGAUUUGAGUAGAAGACCUUUAGAACCCAGACUCUUAAAGAAAUACGAAGUUAUAAGGGCAGGGGAACUUGAAGGAAGUCAUCACUCUCCAACUAAUAAGUUAAAUGAAGGAGGGACCCGUAAUAAUGUUGUUGAGAGGAGACAACUAGGACAUGGACAAAAUGUUUGUCAUAAGGUCAAUCCAUCAUUUGCUAAAGUGUUAGGGCAUCAAAGGUCAAAGGGACAAACAUCAGAAGCACAUGUUUGUGAGGCUGGCAUUAGAGAAGUGAAUUUCAACGUAGUGGAAAAUCUAAGAAACUUGUGCAGUAGGUUUUUCAAUUAUUUAUGCAUUAACUGCCUCUUCAUUGAUAUGUAGUAGUACAAGACUUUCCUAACUAACAGCUUUAGAUACAUAAGAAUAUUGAAGAACGUGUGGACAUAUGGGAAUGACUACAGUAGCAAUAAGUGUUACAAUAAUGACCAAGAAAGAACCAUUGAAGGGUAGUAGUUUCUUGAUUUGAUAGUUCAACUAUCUCAAUAUUGCUGGAGAAAUAACACUAGGCAUAACUUCUUAAUUCUUUUUAGUU
Molecule: long non-coding RNA, 920 nt
Organism: Cajanus cajan (pigeon pea)
Lineage: Eukaryota; Viridiplantae; Streptophyta; Magnoliopsida; Fabales; Fabaceae
Source: RefSeq, a predicted model, not a curated record